Molecule: ribosomal RNA, 376 nt
Filed under: uncultured bacterium
Lineage: Bacteria
Description: bacterial SSU rRNA
Rfam family: Bacterial small subunit ribosomal RNA
Source: RNAcentral
UACAGAGACCUCAAGCGUUACUCGGAUUCACUGGGCGUAAAGGGUACGUAGGCGGCAUCGUGUGUUGGGCGUGAAAUUCUGGGGCUUAACCCCGGCGCUGCGUCCAAAACUAUGGUGCUAGAGUAUUGUAGAGAUGAGCGGAAUUUCUGGUGUAGCGGUAAAAUGCGUAGAUAUCAGAAAGAACACCAACGGCGAAGGCAGCUCAUUGGGCAAUUACUGACGCUGAGGUACGAAAGCGUGGGGAGCAAAAAGGAUUAGAUACCCUUGUAGUCCACGCUGUCAACGUUGUGCACUUGGCCUUGGGGGAUUCGACCCCCUCAGGGCCGAAGCUAACGCGUUAAGUGCACCGCCUGAGGACUACGGCCGCAAGGCUAAA